Molecule: ribosomal RNA, 254 nt
Filed under: uncultured bacterium
Lineage: Bacteria
Description: partial 16S ribosomal RNA
Rfam family: Bacterial small subunit ribosomal RNA
Source: RNAcentral
UACGUAGGGCGCAAGCGUUGUCCGGAAUUAUUGGGCGUAAAGAGCUCGUAGGCGGCCUGUUGCGUCCGCUGUGAAAUCCCGGGGCUCAACCCCGGGCCUGCAGUGGGUACGGGCAGACUAGAGUGCGGUAGGGGAGAUUGGAAUUCCUGGUGUAGCGGUGGAAUGCGCAGAUAUCAGGAGGAACACCGAUGGCGAAGGCAGGUCUCUGGGCCAUUACUGACGCUGAGAAGCGAAAGCAUGGGGGAGCGAACAGG